GACGAACGCUGGCGGCGUGCUUAACACAUGCAAGUCGAACGGAAAGGCCCUGCUUUUGUGGGGUGCUCGAGUGGCGAACGGGUGAGUAACACGUGAGUAACCUGCCCUUGACUUUGGGAUAACUUCAGGAAACUGGGGCUAAUACCGGAUAGGAGCUCCUGCUGCAUGGUGGGGGUUGGAAAGUUUCGGCGGUUGGGGAUGGACUCGCGGCUUAUCAGCUUGUUGGUGGGGUAGUGGCUUACCAAGGCUUUGACGGGUAGCCGGCCUGAGAGGGUGACCGGCCACAUUGGGACUGAGAUACGGACCAGAAUGCUACGGGAGGCAGCAGGGGGGAAUAUUGCACAAUGGGCGGAAGCCUGAUGCAGCAACGCCGCGUGCGGGAUGACGGCCUUCGGGUUGUAAACCGCUUUCGCCUGUGACGAAGCGUGAGUGACGGUAAUGGGUAAAGAAGCACCGGCUAACUACGUG
This 468-nucleotide ribosomal RNA is filed under the name uncultured bacterium. Its description in RNAcentral is "partial 16S ribosomal RNA". It matches the Rfam family "Bacterial small subunit ribosomal RNA", at positions 28 to 507 of the family's 1533-position model. The record is from RNAcentral.